GACGAACGCUGGCGGCGUGCUUAACACAUGCAAGUCGAACGAAAAGAGGGAAAGAGCUUGCUCUUUCCGGAAUUGAGUGGCAAACGGGUGAGUAACACGUAAACAACCUGCCUUCAGGAUGGGGACAACAGACGGAAACGACUGCUAAUACCGAAUAAGUUCCAAGAGCCGCAUGGCCCAUGGAAGAAAAGGUGGCCUCUACCUGUAAGCUAUCGCCUGAAGAGGGGUUUGCGUCGUGAUUAGCUGGUUGGAGGGGUAACGGCCCACCAAGGCGACGAUCAGUAGCCGGUCUGAGAGGAUGAACGGCCACACUGGAACUGAGACACGGUCCAGACUCCUACGGGAGGCAGCAGUGGGGAAUCUUCCGCAAUGGGCGAAAGCCUGACGGAGCAACGCCGCGUGAGUGAUGACGGCCUUCGGGUUGUAAAACUCUGUGAUCCGGGACGAAAAGGCAGAGUGCGAAGAACAGACUGCAUUGACGGUACCGG
Molecule: ribosomal RNA, 488 nt
Filed under: Dialister invisus
Lineage: Bacteria; Bacillati; Bacillota; Negativicutes; Veillonellales; Veillonellaceae
Description: bacterial SSU rRNA
Rfam family: Bacterial small subunit ribosomal RNA
Source: RNAcentral